This 71-nucleotide transfer RNA is filed under the name bacterium. RNAcentral's name for it is "tRNA-Gln". It matches the Rfam family "tRNA". From Rfam's summary of the family: Transfer RNA (tRNA) molecules are approximately 80 nucleotides in length. Their secondary structure includes four short double-helical elements and three loops (D, anti-codon, and T loops). The record is from RNAcentral.
UGCGGGGUCGUCUAACGGUAGGACAUGGACCUUUGAAGUCCAGUAUAAUGGUUCGAUUCCAUUCCCCGCAG